Sapajus apella (tufted capuchin) is the source of this 114-nucleotide long non-coding RNA. RefSeq lists it as uncharacterized. Lineage: Eukaryota; Metazoa; Chordata; Mammalia; Primates; Cebidae. The transcript is spliced from 2 exons. The record is from RefSeq and is a predicted model, not a curated record.
UUGGGAGGCUGAGGCAGGCAGAUCACUUGAGCACAGGAGUUGCAGGCUGCAAUGACCCAUGUUAACAUCACUGCACUCCAACCUGGGCAACAGAGUGAGAACCUGUCUGAGAAA